Molecule: long non-coding RNA, 1132 nt
Organism: Equus caballus (horse)
Lineage: Eukaryota; Metazoa; Chordata; Mammalia; Perissodactyla; Equidae
Source: Ensembl
CUGGCCACCCCUUCCUCCAGAAAGCCUUCACUGACACCCCCAGCUUCUCAUCACCUCCAGGUCUGUGAUGUGUUGUAUAAAUUUUGGAAAAUCAUUGAGCCACAAAAUUGUAAAUUCAAGGAAGCUUCUAGUUUUAGUCAUCUGAAAGGCAGGGCUCCAGUUUCCCUGAGUUCCGGCAACGCUUCACUCUGGUGUUGACUUCAUUCUUGUGUGAGCUUUCUUCAGGAGGCAAGAAUAAUGCCAAGCCCGCAUCUUUACAGCCUGCUGUCCCAAGGAAUUAAAACAAUAACAGGAGAAUGGAAUAUCAGGACAGGGAAACAAGGAAAAACAUUAUCAUAGUGGUCCAGGCAAGUAUCAUUUAAGCUUAGUAAAUGAUGGUAAAGUGCGUUAUGCACAAAGGUCCUAGACGAUCCUUGAAGCCAUCCUUUAUCACCCCGGCCUAAAAUGCCCAUUCUUUUCUACCAGCCAUUAGAUGGUUUCUGAGUAUUUACUCUAACUGGGUGACAAGCUUGGCUCUGGGAAUACACCACUAAAAGACAUUUCUUAUGUCUUCAAAGAAUCUGGUGGGGGCUGUGGGUAAGUCAGCAGGGACAAUAUAAAGGGCUGGUUGUCAUCAUGGAGGAGUGCUGGAUGCAGUGGAGGUCUGUGGGAGAAGCACGACUCCAGCUUUGCAGGUGGAGAUGAGGUUGGAGAGGGAAGCAGGAAGCACACAUCGAAGGUCCUUCACAUCUGUCAUAGAGUUUGAAAUUUUUCCUUAGAACAAAGGGGAGCUGAUGAAGAAUUCUAGAACUGGAAGACAUAGUCAGACCCAAAUGCCUGUUUUUGAAAGACAGUGGAAAACGGAGAAGAGGGAAGCACCAGCAAGACAGAAAGGAGCACAACCAACCUCCCCCGAACGGGAGGCGCAGAGGAAGCAGGCGGCUGUGCUCCUUGAAAGCAGCCAUCCGUCCAACUCCAUUUCAAUAAUGUUUGCAAUUUUCCUCCUACUGGGUUGACUGGAGGCACAGCUGCCCCAUACGCGGGUCCAUGCGCCCAGCUUUUGCUAAAAAUGACCCUAACAAAUAAAAGGUGAAGCGAGUAAUAACUUGCUGUUUACAAAUUGUGUCGUCGAUGAAUGCAGCAGCAAUCUUUC